CGUCCCAUUUCUACCCCUUACCCCUCCCCCUUGGUUUGAAGGGGUAAGGGUGUCCCAAUUCUCAUUUGGGUUAAGGGGUAGGGCGAAGACAAAAGGCUACGUAGCCCUUGAAACGAAGCUAUCCAAGGACCACACUUUAAAGGGAGGGCUUCGAGGAAAAUCCGGCCGAAAAUGCAUUUUUACUAGUUGUUAUCGUUCGGACUCAUGCUGUAAAGUUGACUGUAUGUUCGGCUCGAAGUCAUACACGGACAAUGCGAUCUCUGAGCUCAAUAUAAAACAUGACAUAACGGUAAAUAACCGUUGAACUAUACAUACAAGAUUUUGGCGCUCUCUAGUGGCCAACCGAAAUCGCCAAAUAAACAAACAGCAGCGAUGGCUCAAGCGAAGGACACGCACAAAUGGACACCACAGGAGACCAGACGGCUCAUUAAUUUCAGGGCGACCAGGGACAAUGAGUUCCUAAAAUCGAAAAUGAUCGCCAGAAAACAGUGGGAGCUUUUUCUGGAAGAAAUGGGGGUGGAGGGGAAAGUGACCAGGCAACAGGCUUCUAAGAGGUGGGAGAACCUUAAAAAGAAGUACAAGGCCCGCUCUAUCACAGAACG
Gadus macrocephalus (Pacific cod) is the source of this 602-nucleotide long non-coding RNA. RefSeq lists it as uncharacterized. Lineage: Eukaryota; Metazoa; Chordata; Actinopteri; Gadiformes; Gadidae. The transcript has 4 exons. The record is from RefSeq and is a predicted model, not a curated record.